CCUGUUUAACAAAAACAUGUCUUUUUGAGUUAUUUUAAAAGUCUGACCUGCCCACUGAAAUUAUUUAAAUGGCCGCAGUAUUCUAACUGUGCAAAGGUAGCAUAAUCAUUAGUCUUUUAAUUGAAGGCUGGUAUGAACGGUUGGACGAGGUAUAAGCUGUUUCAUAUAAAUUUAUAAUAGAAUUUUAUAUUUUAGUCAAAAAGCUAAAAUUUAAUUAAAAGACGAGAAGACCCUAUAAAUCUUUAUACUUUAAGUUGUUUAAAUUUUUUAGAUUAAUUUUAUUUUUAUAAUUUAGAGUAUUUUGUUGGGGUGAUAUUAAAAUUUAAUGAACUUUUAAUUGUUAAAAAUCAUUAAUUUAUGAGUUAUUGAUCCAUUAAUAGUGAUUAUAAGAUUAAGUUACUUUAGGGAUAACAGCGUAAUUUUUUUGGAGAGUUCAUAUCGAWAAAAAAGUUUGCGACCUCGAUGUUGGAUUAAGAUAUAUUUUUAGGUGUA
RNAcentral lists this ribosomal RNA (492 nucleotides) under Bactrocera neohumeralis. RNAcentral describes it as "partial large subunit ribosomal RNA". Lineage: Eukaryota; Metazoa; Arthropoda; Insecta; Diptera; Tephritidae. The record is from RNAcentral.